GAAACUCUGACAGCUACAUAUAUAUCUAAAUAAAAGAAUUGUUUAGAAACUGAGAACCUUCGACAGACGGCGCAGAUCUUUCGGGGGAUUGAUUACUUUCGGUGGAACCGUGUCGAAGGGUGGAAGUACCUUGUAAAGUGAAUUACUGUGCUCUCCGACCCCGAAGCAAAAAGGUGACGAGAAGAGAUGAGUUGCAAUCAGGAGCGCAAUCCCAGGAGGAUUCGCUCAUAAAUCCCGAACCAUUUCUUCAAACAACACGAGCAUCAUAAUUUCGGUGGCACCAUCUGCAAAUCGGAUUUCCAUUCUGUGCCUGCUUGCAAUAGCGUAAGGAAAAAAAGAGGAUGGGAAAAGGAAAGAAUUACUGCCUCUAUGAACCUAUGGACAUGGACUGAAGUAACGAAUUCGAGGCAUGUCCAAUGGCAAAAAGAUUUCGGGCAUCAUGUCAUGCUACCGUUAUCCAAAGUGAUGCUUGAAAAAUUAAAAAAUUGAACUAUUAGAACUCUUCAAUUUUACUGUUAUAUUAGGAAAACUGCUUUUGUUCUGCCUCACGAAGGAAGGCCUCCCAAGUAAAAGAAAACAUCGAUUGCCUUAUCUGCAUCAUUUAGAGAAACGCUGACAAAGACUCAAAUUUCUAGGACGUCUGACAACUGGGCUUUUUUUUUUCGAACGAAUUACUAUGACAUUUUUAUUUUCAGGAAAAUGUACGUUUCUAUUUUCUCAAAGCAAAGCGUUGCUUUUUAUUUAAAAAGAACCCAUGAUGUCUUGCGUUUCGCUGAAAUGGAUUUCAGUUUAUUUUAAAAGCAGGAGAAUU
This is a long non-coding RNA of Argiope bruennichi, 811 nucleotides long. RefSeq lists it as uncharacterized. Lineage: Eukaryota; Metazoa; Arthropoda; Arachnida; Araneae; Araneidae. The record is from RefSeq and is a predicted model, not a curated record. The transcript is spliced from 3 exons.